This 253-nucleotide ribosomal RNA is filed under the name uncultured bacterium. Its description in RNAcentral is "partial 16S ribosomal RNA". It matches the Rfam family "Bacterial small subunit ribosomal RNA", at positions 524 to 776 of the family's 1533-position model. The record is from RNAcentral.
UACGUAGGGGGCUAGCGUUGUCCGGAAUUAUUGGGCGUAAAGGGCUCGUAGGCGGUUUGUCGCGUCGGGAGUGAAAACACCGGGCUUAACUCGGUGCUUGCUUUCGAUACGGGCAGACUAGAGGUAUGCAGGGGAGAACGGAAUUCCUGGUGUAGCGGUGAAAUGCGCAGAUAUCAGGAGGAACACCGGUGGCGAAGGCGGUUGGCUGGGCCACAACUGACACUGAUGCGCGACAGCGUGGGGAGCAAACAGG